AUUGAACGCUGGCGGCAUGCUUUACACAUGCAAGUCGAACGGAAGCGGGGUAGUGCUUGCACUAUUGUCGGAGCGUGGCGCGCGGGAGUGUAAUAUAUCUAAACGUCCCGAGUAACGGGGGAUAACUCGUCGAACGAUUGGUUAUUCCCGCAUACGUCUUGAGGGGGAAAGCGGAGGAUCGCAAGACGUCGUGUCAUUCGCGCGGCCGGUGACGCAUUAGCUAGUUGGUGGGGUAAAGGCGUACCAAGGCGACGAUCAAUAGCGGGUCUGAGAGGAUGAUCGGCCACACUGGAACUGAGACACGGUCCAGACUCCUACGGGAGGCAGCAGUAGGGAAUUUUGGGCAAUGGGCGCAACCCUGACCCAGCCAUGCCGCGUGUAUGAAGAAGGCCUUCGGGUUGUAAAGCUCUGUUAUUAGGGAAGAAAAGGUAAGUACGAAAACCACUAUAUGCUGACGGUACCUAAAGAAUAAGCACCGGCUAACUACGUG
This 490-nucleotide ribosomal RNA is filed under the name uncultured bacterium. RNAcentral's name for it is "partial 16S ribosomal RNA". It matches the Rfam family "Bacterial small subunit ribosomal RNA", at positions 30 to 507 of the family's 1533-position model. The record is from RNAcentral.